GGAUGUGAGGGCGAUCUGGCUGCGACAUCUGUCAUCCCAUUGAUCGCCAGGGUUGAUUUGGCUGAUCUGGCUGGCUAGGCGGGUGUCCUCUUCCUCUCUCACCGCUCCAUGUGCAUCCCUCCCGAAGCUACACGCUCGAUGAAGAGACGACCAUCCCCGAUAGAGGUGGACCAUUCUUCCGUCAAGGGUAUACGAGUAGUGCACUCCCCUGCUAGACCUCCAACAAGUUCUCACGUUCCCAUCUCUGUCUGGUCAACUAAGACAGUAUAGGACUAGCAGUUGCCGUAUGGCUAUGUCACU
This 300-nucleotide small nuclear RNA is filed under the name Tupaia belangeri (northern tree shrew). Its description in RNAcentral is "7SK RNA (ENSTBEG00000018705.1)". It matches the Rfam family "7SK RNA". From Rfam's summary of the family: 7SK was discovered as an abundant small nuclear RNA in the mid-70s but a possible function has only recently been suggested. Two independent studies have found that 7SK RNA binds the CDK9/cyclin T complex (known as elongation factor P-TEFb). The record is from RNAcentral. Lineage: Eukaryota; Metazoa; Chordata; Mammalia; Scandentia; Tupaiidae.